Molecule: long non-coding RNA, 546 nt
Organism: Haplochromis burtoni (Burton's mouthbrooder)
Lineage: Eukaryota; Metazoa; Chordata; Actinopteri; Cichliformes; Cichlidae
Exons: 3
Source: RefSeq, a predicted model, not a curated record
UAUAUACAAUGGUAGCAUACACAGUAUGUGAUUAUGGAUAUGGUUGUGUUUAUAUGCAAGACAUAAACUAUAAAGCUUAACAUAAUAUCCUCAGGUUUGUCUGAAAUUAGAAGUAGGAAAUUAGAGGUCAAUCAGGGGUUUAUGUCUCAUAAACAUUCCUGUAGUUUAACCAGUUGGUUGUAAUAACCUGUGAAUUGAGAGCGAUUGCGGACGAGCUACUACAUCACCGAUUGUCUUGUUAACUGACCAUCCCAGAAAUUUGGGCUUCAGUUUUGAUAAACUGAAUCUUAGAGGAGUACCCUGGUAAGAAGCCACCUGUCUGUGGCGGUUUGACGCAGAGGUGCACUUGUGAAGAGGUUUGAUGCGACAACGUUCACAACACAAAGCCCUAGAGGAGUUUCAAAAAUGGCAUAUGCCCAAAGCCCAAAGAAGGACCACGGCUGGUGGGCUUACACCUCCUUUGACAACUGAUGCCUGCCAGAGCGACAAUGUUGAUCAGAGCAACGACGGAUGUCGUCACAAGUCCCAAAAACAUCUCGAUCAAAA